RNAcentral lists this ribosomal RNA (1642 nucleotides) under Salmonella enterica subsp. enterica serovar Typhimurium. Its description in RNAcentral is "partial 23S ribosomal RNA". It matches the Rfam family "Bacterial large subunit ribosomal RNA", at positions 434 to 1874 of the family's 2925-position model. The record is from RNAcentral. Lineage: Bacteria; Pseudomonadati; Pseudomonadota; Gammaproteobacteria; Enterobacterales; Enterobacteriaceae.
CUGUCUGAAUAUGGGGGGACCAUCCUCCAAGGCUAAAUACUCCUGACUGACCGAUAGUGAACCAGUACCGUGAGGGAAAGGCGAAAAGAACCCCGGCGAGGGGAGUGAAAAAGAACCUGAAACCGUGUACGUACAAGCAGUGGGAGCCCCACCACUAAGCCAGUGGUGAACUCCACAUCCGCAUCCUUUGCUGAGGAUACGGUUAACGGAGCGAAAGCGACGUUCAACCGCAAAACAAGCAGAGGGGGCUUAGUGGUGGGGUGACUGCGUACCUUUUGUAUAAUGGGUCAGCGACUUAUAUUCUGUAGCAAGGUUAACCGAAUAGGGGAGCCGGAGGGAAACCGAGUCUUAAUUGGGCGUUAAGUUGCAGGGUAUAGACCCGAAACCCGGUGAUCUAGCCAUGGGCAGGUUGAAGGUUGGGUAACACUAACUGGAGGACCGAACCGACUAAUGUUGAAAAAUUAGCGGAUGACCUGUGGCUGGGGGUGAAAGGCCAAUCAAACCGGGAGAUAGCUGGUUCUCCCCGAAAGCUAUUUAGGUAGCGCCUCGUGAAUUCAUCUCCGGGGGUAGAGCACUGUUUCGGCUAGGGGGCCAUCCCGGCUUACCAACCCGAUGCAAACUGCGAAUACCGGAGAAUGUUAUCACGGGAGACACACGGCGGGUGCUAACGUCCGUCGUGAAGAGGGAAACAACCCAGACCGCCAGCUAAGGUCCCAAAGUCAUGGUUAAGUGGGAAACGAUGUGGGAAGGCCCAGACAGCCAGGAUGUUGGCUUAGAAGCAGCCAUCAUUUAAAGAAAGCGUAAUAGCUCACUGGUCGAGUCGGCCUGCGCGGAAGAUGUAACGGGGCUAAACCAUGCACCGAAGCUGCGGCAGCGAACGUAUCACCCAAGACAACUUUACGGAGUUGACGAUUGACGGAGCGAAGCGACGUCAAAGCGUUCAUUAAAGUCGAGUUGGCUUAGGGAUACGUUCGUUGGGUAGGGGAGCGUUCUGUAAGCCUGUGAAGGUGUGUCGUGAGGCAUGCUGGAGGUAUCAGAAGUGCGAAUGCUGACAUAAGUAACGAUAAAGCGGGUGAAAAGCCCGCUCGCCGGAAGACCAAGGGUUCCUGUCCAACGUUAAUCGGGGCAGGGUGAGUCGACCCCUAAGGCGAGGCCGAAAGGCGUAGUCGAUGGGAAACGGGUUAAUAUUCCCGUACUUGGUGUUACUGCGAAGGGGGGACGGAGAAGGCUAUGUUGGCCGGGCGACGGUUGUCCCGGUUUAAGCGUGUAGGUGUGUGUUCCAGGUAAAUCCGGUUCACUUUAACACUGAGGCGUGACGACGAGGCACUACGGUGCUGAAGCAACAAAUGCCCUGCUUCCAGGAAAAGCCUCUAAGCAUCAGGUAACACGAAAUCGUACCCCAAACCGACACAGGUGGUCAGGUAGAGAAUACCAAGGCGCUUGAGAGAACUCGGGUGAAGGAACUAGGCAAAAUGGUGCCGUAACUUCGGGAGAAGGCACGCUGACACGUAGGUGAAGUGAUUUACUCAUGGAGCUGAAGUCAGUCGAAGAUACCAGCUGGCUGCAACUGUUUAUUAAAAACACAGCACUGUGCAAACACGAAAGUGGACGUAUACGGUGUGACGCCUGCCCGGUGCCGGAA